RNAcentral lists this ribosomal RNA (375 nucleotides) under uncultured soil bacterium. Its description in RNAcentral is "bacterial SSU rRNA". It matches the Rfam family "Bacterial small subunit ribosomal RNA", at positions 26 to 412 of the family's 1533-position model. The record is from RNAcentral.
AGAUUGAACGCUGGCGGCAUGCCUAACACAUGCAAGUCGAACGGGAGUAGCAAUACUCUAGUGGCGGACGGGUGAGGAAUACGUAGGAAUUUGCCCUUAAGUGGGGGAUAACCCGGGGAAACCCGGAUUAAUACCGCAUGACCUCGAAAGAGCAAAGUGGGGGAUCGCAAGACCUCACGCUUUUGGAGAAGCCUACGUCGGAUUAGCUAGUUGGUGAGGUAAUGGCUCACCAAGGCGACGAUCCGUAACUGGUCUGAGAGGAUGAUCAGUCACACCGGAACUGAGACACGGUCCGGACUCCGUACGGGAGGCAGCGAGGUGGGGAAUAGUGGACAGUGGCGCAGCCUGAUCCAGCAAUGCCGCGGUGUGGUAGAA